GCUCUGCACUUGUGUAGUCUCUAACAAUUCUUCUGCAUAGCUCUUAACAUUCUUCUGCUCUGUGCUCUGCACUCAUGUAGUCUCUAACAAUUCUUCUGUGUAGCUCUCAAUGAUUCUUCCACCCCACACUCUGUGCUUGUGUAGUUUCUAACAAUUCUUCCGCAUAGCUCUUAACAUUCUUCCACUCUGCGCUCCACUGUGGAGCGGCCUCUGAUAUUCUUCCACCCCAAACUUCCCUCUAUAAGAACCCCCUUCAUACGACCUUUUCUUCUGAUUUCUUUUCUCUUUCUUUCCUUAAUCAAUUCGUAAUCUGUAUUUAGGAUAGUACCAAAUCGUUAAUCGAAGUUGAACCCGCGUCCGCCUUGGAGGACGCCGCCGCCCUCGACACCUACGAGUCCUCACUCACCCCGGCAGGGGGGGAUAAUGUGACGGAUUAGCACCUGUUAGUAAUUAACUUACACAACCAACUCCUGUCAUUGCAACCUUGUGUAACCCUCGAUGUUCUUCCGCUCUGUGCUCUGCACUUGUGUAGUCUCUAACAAUUCUUUCACAUAGCUCUUAAUGUUCUUCUGCUCUGUGCUCCACACUCACAUAGUCUCUAACAAUUCUUCCAUGUAGCCCUCAAUGAUUCUUCUGCCCCACACUCCACACUCAUGUAGUUUCUAACAAUUCUUUCACAUAGUUCUUAACAUUCUUCCACUCUGCACUUCACUGUGAAGUGGCCUCUGAUAUUCUUCCACUCUGAACUUCCCUCUAUAAGAACCCUCUUUGUACAACCUUUUCUUCUGAUUUCUUUUCUCUUUCUUUCCUUAAUCAAUUUGUAAUCUGUAUUUAGGAUAGUACCAAAUCAUUAAUCGA
RNAcentral lists this small RNA (858 nucleotides) under Histoplasma ohiense. RNAcentral describes it as "hypothetical lncRNA". The record is from RNAcentral. Lineage: Eukaryota; Fungi; Ascomycota; Eurotiomycetes; Onygenales; Ajellomycetaceae.